Molecule: non-coding RNA, 908 nt
Organism: Heterocephalus glaber (naked mole-rat)
Lineage: Eukaryota; Metazoa; Chordata; Mammalia; Rodentia; Bathyergidae
Source: RefSeq, a predicted model, not a curated record
ACGCGGGGCGGGGCGGGGCGGGCGCUGUGGUCCGGUGUUGGAGAUUUUCGUAUCGCCACGUUUUGGAGAAUGCAAACGUGGCAAGGGCCACGUUGAUCUGAGUUUCAUGGACUGAACUUUUUUCCAGCAGGGCCACCGCCGCAGGUUUUUGGCGUUUGCGGAAUUCAUCCUGUUUCCGGAUCCUCCUUGAGUCCACAAACCUGAAAAGUUGGGUUGCAAAUUGGCAGAGGAAACCAGCAGCUUAGUAUUGCAGCCUGGAGCAUUGGCCUUGGAACAGGUUUGGGGAGCAGUGCUGGAGUGCAGUUUUAGAGCUGGCAGCAGCAGCAGCCCAGGAGGAGGCUAAGGACUCAAAGCUGCCAUUCAUUCAGUUUGAGAACCUAAAUGACUUCAACAUUUGGUACAGAAGAAACAAGUUGGGCAUGGUGGCACACGAUGCAAUCUCAGCAAAAGUGGAAAUCCCAGAAGAAACAAGCUUACCUCCAGCAUCAGAGGCCUUCUCAGCAGAACUGAUGUAUCUGGCAACUUUUUGUAGGACAGGCACAUUUAGUGUCAUGCACUAACCUGAACAACAAACAGGAGCAGCUUCUAUGUCUUUGGAUAAAUUUAUGUUUAUAAGUGUUGUUAUUAAAUAGUAUUGUAAUAACGGAUGGUCUUUGGUAUUGAUUCUUAGAAAUAUGUAUUUGGAGAAAAAGUUAAAUUUGACUGCUGUGAGUGUUAGCAUUCAAGUUUGUAAACUUCUGAUCAGUCUGGUCAUUUUAACUGUAGACCUCAGGGGCAAAAAUUCAGAAGCAUUUCAGGCAUCCAUCCUUGAUAAUAGUCCCUGCUGCCUUUGUCCCUUGAAGCGUGUGAUGAAUGAGUUGGCUGUACACGAUAUUUAGCCAGAACCAUUAAAGGACAUGUCCAGCCUC